RNAcentral lists this ribosomal RNA (490 nucleotides) under uncultured bacterium. RNAcentral describes it as "partial 16S ribosomal RNA". It matches the Rfam family "Bacterial small subunit ribosomal RNA", at positions 30 to 507 of the family's 1533-position model. The record is from RNAcentral.
AUUGAACGCUGGCGGCAGGCCUAACACAUGCAAGUCGAACGGUAACAGGAAGCAGCUUGCUGCUUUGCUGACGAGUGGCGGACGGGUGAGUAAUGUCUGGGAAACUGCCUGAUGGAGGGGGAUAACUACUGGAAACGGUAGCUAAUACCGCAUAACGUCGCAAGACAAAAGAGGGGGACCUUCGGGCCUCUUGCCAUCGGAUGUGCCCAGAUGGGAUUAGCUAGUAGGUGGGGUAACGGCUCACCUAGGCGACGAUCCCUAGCUGGUCUGAGAGGAUGACCAGCCACACUGGAACUGAGACACGGUCCAGACUCCGACGGGAGGCAGCAGUGGGGAAUAUUGCACAAUGGGCGCAAGCCUGAUGCAGCCAUGCCGCGUGUAUGAAGAAGGCCUUCGGGUUGUAAAGUACUUUCAGCGGGGAGGAAGGGAGUAAAGUUAAUACCUUUGCUCAUUGACGUUACCCGCAGAAGAAGCACCGGCUAACUCCGUG